CCUACGGGGGGCAGCAGUGGGGAAUAUUGCACAAUGGGCGCAAGCCUGAUGCAGCGACGCCGCGUGAGCGAUGAAGGCCUUCGGGUCGUAAAGCUCUGUCCUAAGGGAAGAAUAAUUACGGUACCUUAGGAGGAAGCCCCGGGUAACUACGUGCCAGCAGCCACGGUAAGACGUGGGGGGCGAGCGUUACCCGGAAUCACUGGGCGGAAAGGGUGCGUAGGUGGCCAUGUAAGUCAGGAGUUAAAUCCCUCGGAUAAACCGAGGUCAGCUCUUGAAACUGUAGGGCUUGAGUGCAGGAGGGGAGAGCGGAAUUCCUAGUGUAGCGGUGAAAUGCGUAGAUAUUAGGAGGAACGCCAGUGGCGAAGGCGGCUCUCUGGACUGCAACUGACGCUGAGGCACGAAAGCGUGGGGAGCGAACAGGAUUAGAUACCCCUGUAGUC
This 440-nucleotide ribosomal RNA is filed under the name uncultured bacterium. RNAcentral describes it as "bacterial SSU rRNA". It matches the Rfam family "Bacterial small subunit ribosomal RNA", at positions 338 to 795 of the family's 1533-position model. The record is from RNAcentral.